AAGGGCCCCUGCACACACUGCCCCCUGCGCUAUGGCCGCCUCCAGCCCACCCAAGAUGGCCAGGUUAGAAGGAAUCCCUCACCCCAAGUGUCCAAGACAGGCUGACAGAGUCUUUAGGAACGGCUCAAACCAUCAGCAAACGCUGCCCUGCUCUGCGGGCUCAGGGCAGCAGGAGCCCCCGCAGCUGGGAAGUGCACAGGGCCUUCCACAGAAGCUGGCACUGCCUCCUUGAGACAUGUCCCAGCUGGUGGCCAUCCUAAACCCGCAGGUGUGGCACGCACAAGGAAUGUGUGGGUCAGGGCACGAAUGCUGCUCUGACCCCUGGGGCCCGGGGAGCGCUGACACCAGCAGGAGAAUCAGGACCAUGAAGAGGAAAAAUCACAAAUAUUCUUUCUGCCCUCCGUAACCAAAGCUGUGCCAAACCA
This is a non-coding RNA of Taeniopygia guttata (zebra finch), 425 nucleotides long. The record is from RefSeq and is a predicted model, not a curated record. NCBI's taxonomy places the organism in Eukaryota, Metazoa, Chordata, Aves, Passeriformes, Estrildidae.